CGGGUUGCGCAGGCUGUCAGGAAACGAGUACAUCCUCUCCACAAAGCAGCCCCACCACCUCCCCAGCCACCUGACGACGCCCCUGUCUUUAAACGACAUCCCCCCUCGUAUCGCUCAGACCAUGGAGACCGAGGACUCGUGGGACUUUGACAUCUUUAACUUGGAGGCUGCCACCUUGAAGAGGCCUCUGACUUUCCUGGGCCUGAAGAUCUUCUCCCGCUUCGGGGUCUGUGAGUUCCUGAACUGCCCUGAAGCGACUCUGCGCUCGUGGCUCCAAGUGAUAGAAGCUAACUACCACU
Nematolebias whitei (Rio pearlfish) is the source of this 299-nucleotide long non-coding RNA. RefSeq lists it as uncharacterized. NCBI's taxonomy places the organism in Eukaryota, Metazoa, Chordata, Actinopteri, Cyprinodontiformes, Rivulidae. The transcript is spliced from 3 exons. The record is from RefSeq and is a predicted model, not a curated record.